UCUGGUGGUGAUGCGCUUAGGGGACACACCCGUUCCCAUCCCGAACACGAUGGUUAAGACCUAAGCGGCCGAUGAUACUAUGCUGGAGACGGCAUGGGAAAGCAGGUGGCUGCCAGAU
RNAcentral lists this ribosomal RNA (118 nucleotides) under Roseburia sp. MSJ-14. Lineage: Bacteria; Bacillati; Bacillota; Clostridia; Lachnospirales; Lachnospiraceae. The record is from RNAcentral.